GGCUUUGUAGUGUAGUGGUUAUCACAGCGGAUUCUGAUCGGCUGUAUCCAAACAAGUACAGUUCCGCUAACCCAGGUUCGAGUCCUGGCAAGGCCU
Molecule: non-coding RNA, 96 nt
Organism: Fomitopsis serialis
Lineage: Eukaryota; Fungi; Basidiomycota; Agaricomycetes; Polyporales; Fomitopsidaceae
Source: the annotation of a RefSeq genome assembly